RNAcentral lists this ribosomal RNA (359 nucleotides) under uncultured bacterium. Its description in RNAcentral is "bacterial SSU rRNA". It matches the Rfam family "Bacterial small subunit ribosomal RNA", at positions 28 to 371 of the family's 1533-position model. The record is from RNAcentral.
GACGAACGCUGGCGGUGUGCCUCAAACAUGCAAGUCGAGGGAGGGUUGGCGAGUGGCUUGCCAUUCGUUCAACUCUACCGGCAAACGGGUGAGUAACACGUGGGAAACCUGCCCUGAAGACGGGGACAACUUCGGGAAACCGGGGCUAAUACCCGAUACCCUCCACGGGGGGCAUCCUCUGUGGAGGAAAGGUUCCGCAAGGUUCGCUUCAGGAGGGUCCCGCGGCCUAUCAGCUAGUUGGUGGGGUAACGGCCUACCAAGGCAUGACGGGUAGCUGGUCUGAGAGGACGAUCAGCCACACUGGGACUGAGACACGGCCCAGACUCCUACGGGAGGCAGCAGUUGGGAAUAUUGGGCAA